GUGCCUGCCUGCCUGCCAACAACUACUAAAAUUGGAACUAUACAGAGAAGAUUAGCAUGGCCCCUGCGCAAGGAUGACGCGCAAAUUCGUGAAGCGUUCCAUAAAAAA
Molecule: non-coding RNA, 108 nt
Organism: Chelonia mydas (Green sea turtle)
Lineage: Eukaryota; Metazoa; Chordata; Testudines; Cheloniidae
Source: Rfam